RNAcentral lists this small RNA (121 nucleotides) under Rhodanobacter spathiphylli. RNAcentral's name for it is "Rhodanobacter sp. Manganese sequence". It matches the Rfam family "Manganese Mn2+ riboswitch aptamer (yybP-ykoY)". From Rfam's summary of the family: This RNA was originally discovered in E. coli during a large scale screen and was named SraF. The family was later found to exist upstream of related families of protein genes in many bacteria, including the the yybP and ykoK genes in B. subtilis. The specific functions of these proteins are unknown, but this structured RNA element may be involved in their genetic regulation as a riboswitch. RNAcentral also lists the same sequence under 1 other name. The record is from RNAcentral. Lineage: Bacteria; Pseudomonadati; Pseudomonadota; Gammaproteobacteria; Lysobacterales; Rhodanobacteraceae.
CAGCCUGUCAUUGGGGAGUAGCCAGCCUCGUCCCCCGAGGCGUUCGCAUCAACAGACUUGGUCGCCGUUUCCCGGCGCCAUGGUGCGGACAGCAGACAUCGCCACCCGGUGGUGUCUUGCC